RNAcentral lists this ribosomal RNA (253 nucleotides) under uncultured bacterium. RNAcentral's name for it is "partial 16S ribosomal RNA". It matches the Rfam family "Bacterial small subunit ribosomal RNA", at positions 524 to 776 of the family's 1533-position model. The record is from RNAcentral.
UACGUAGGGGGCAAGCGUUGUCCGGAUUUAUUGGGCGUAAAGAGCGUGUAGGCGGCCAGGUAGGUCAGCUGUGAAAACUCGAGGCUUAACCUCGAGACGCCGGCUGAAACCCUCUGGCUAGAGUCCGGAAGAGGAGAGCGGAAUUCCUGGUGUAGCGGUGAAAUGCGCAGAUAUCAGGAGGAACACCGAUGGCGAAGGCAGGUCUCUGGGCCACUACUGACGCUGAGAAGCGAAAGCAUGGGGAGCGAACAGG